AUGCCCUGCAGCAAGGUUUUCUACUUUCACCGCCUCCUCUCGCUGAAGAUGGGAGGCUAUUACUGCUUGUUUCAAUUCUUGCUCAUCUAUGUUCUGCUCCACGGACAUCGCAGCUAUUCUCUGAACCAGGCAUGCCACCCCACUGACCUGGAGGCACUUCUUGCUUUUUCCAAUGGCUGGGACAGGAAGGGCGCCAAGCUCACCGGAUGGCAUCCCAACGACACUGCAUGCUGUUUCUGGACCGGCAUCUCCUGUGAUCUUGGGAGGGUUGUCGGGUUGGAUCUCUUCAACAAGAGCCUCCAUGGCGGCAUCUCCUCCUUGAUCACCUCGCUCGAUGGCCUCGUGACACUAAACCUCUCCUGCAACUCGUUCCAUGGUCAGCUACCAGAGGGACUUGGCCAGCUAGCGAGGCUGCAGAUGCUCGACCUCAGCAUGAACAUGUUCUCCGGGCUGUUCCCGGUGAGGGAAGAUGGCUUCCUAGCUAUUGAGAUGGUGAACAUCUCCUUCAACAAAUUCACUGGACCGCAUCCUACGUUCCCUGGCGCGAUGAACCUGGCGGUUCUUGAUAUCUCUAGUAAUACCUUCUCUGGUGGCUUCAACACCAGGGCCCUCUGUGUUGCGCCAGUCAAGGCCCUGCAAUUUUCCAGGAAUGAGUUCAACGGUGAGGUCCUCACCGGCUUUGGCAGAUGCAGGAUGCUCGUGGAGCUCUCUAUCGAUGGCAGUGGCAUCACUGGGAGUAUCCCCGGCGACCUGUACACGUUAUCAGAGUUGAGGAGGCUGAGUUUACGGGAAAAUCAGCUCUCUGGUAGUCUCAGCGAGUACCUGGGUAACUUCUCUCAGCUUAUUCAUAUCGACCUGUCAUAUAACAUGUUCACUGGUGUCAUCCCUGACGUGUUUGGGGGUUUGAGGAGGCUGGAGUUCUUAAACUUGGCCUCAAAUUUGUUCAGUGGCACAUUGCCUGCCUCCCUAUCGAGCUGCCCUAUGUUGAGGGUUAUCAACCUAAGGAACAACUCGCUGUCAGGUGAAAUUGCCCUAGACUUCAACUUACUGCCAAGGCUGAAUGUUCUGGAUGCAGGGAGCAACAUGCUGAGUGGUGCUAUACCUCCGAGUCUCAUGUGGUGCACCGAGUUGAAGACGCUGAACUUCGGAAGGAACAAGCUCAAGGGGGAGAUACCAGAGAGCUUUAAGCAUUUGCGAUCCCUGUCACACCUCUCACUUGCUCAAAAUGGCUUCACCAACCUGUCAUCGGCAUUGAGGGUCUUGCAGCACCUACCCAAACUGACGAGUUUAGUGCUUACGAAGAACUUCCAUGGUGGUGAGACAUUUCCAAUGGAUGGCAUCCGUGGUUUCAAGAGCUUGCAGGUGCUUGUCCUUGCAAACUGUGCACUCUCAGGCAUGAUCCAGCCUUGGCUGCAGAACAUGGAGAGCCUCAGAGUGCUGGACAUUUCAUGGAACAAGUUGAAUGGAAAGCUCCCAUCAUGGUUAGGCAAUCUGAAUAGUCUCUUCUAUGUCGACCUGUCAAACAACUCGUUUAGUGGGGAACUCCCCAAGAGCUUUACACAGAUAAAGAGUUUAAUUUCAAGUACUUAUUCAAGUGAGCAUGCAUCAAUAGAGGACCUCCCAUUAUUCAUUAAGAAGAAUUCAGCCGAAAAAGGUUUGCAGUACAACCAUGUGAGCAGUUUCCCUCCGGCGCUGAUCCUUUCUAGUAACUUGCUUAUUGGGCCAGUCUUGCCUGGCCUUGGGCAUCUUGUGCAGCUCCAUUUACUUGACUUAAGCUGGAACAACUUCUCAGGGCACAUUCCUGACGAGUUGUCAAACAUGUCCAGCCUGGAAGUGCUGAAUUUUGCCCACAAUGAUUUAAACGGGAGCAUACCAUCAUCUCUAUCGAAGCUGAAUUUCCUCUCCAAGUUUGAUGUGUCAUACAACAAUCUCAGUGGAGAUAUUCCAAUAGGGGGGCAAUUUACCACAUUCACAAAUGAGAGUUUUGUGGGCAAUGCUGCACUAUGCUUUCUUCGGAAUGGCCCCUGCUCUGGAGAGGCUCCACUUGAAGGAACUGGAAAUGAUGGCACCAAUACUGUAUCUGCAGUGUCUGCGAUGACAUACAUCACUGUGGAAGUGGGAUUUACUUUCGGGCUUUUAACCUUCUGGAACAUACUGUUUUUUGCAAGGGCUUGGAGGGCUGCGUAUUUUCUGACGGUUGAUAGGUUCUUUGAUAUGAUAUAUCUAGUGACAAUGGCGAAGGUGAACAAGUUCAGAAGAAAAUGGGAGGAUAAAGAUCAUCCUUGA
RNAcentral lists this ribosomal RNA (2286 nucleotides) under Triticum aestivum (bread wheat). RNAcentral's name for it is "partial small subunit ribosomal RNA". Lineage: Eukaryota; Viridiplantae; Streptophyta; Magnoliopsida; Poales; Poaceae. The record is from RNAcentral.